This 599-nucleotide long non-coding RNA is filed under the name Cricetulus griseus (Chinese hamster). Its description in RNAcentral is "lncRNA (ENSCGRG00015040536.1)". Lineage: Eukaryota; Metazoa; Chordata; Mammalia; Rodentia; Cricetidae. The record is from RNAcentral.
CAGCCGUCUCCGCGCAGGGUCCCGGGCUGCGCGUGCGCGGUGCGAGUCGGCGGUGCCACUUUUGUAGUUGGCAGGCGUUGCGUUGCGUCGCUGUAGCUGUGUUCCGUAGGGAGGCUUCCAGCAGAAGGUGUGGCCCAGACUAAUGGUGUGCCUUCCAGCCUCAAGGUCUGCAUUAAAGGCAUGUAUGUGUCUUCCCGCCUCAAGAUCCGGAUCACAGUUCCUCAUGUUGUGGUGACCGCCAACCAUAAAAUUAUUUUGUUGCAAGGCUGGAGAGAUGGCUCGGCAGUUAAGAGCACUGACUGUUCUUCCAGAGGUCCGGAGUUCAAUUCCCAGCAACCACAUGGUGGCUAACAACCACCUUGAAUGAGAUUUGGUGCCUUCUGCUGGCAUGCAGGCAGCAGAAGACUGUAUACAUAAUAAAUAAAAUCUUUUUUAAAAAACUAUUUUGCGGCUACUUCAUAGCUGUAAUUGUUUUUGUUUGUUUUUCGAGACAGGGUUUCUCUAUGUAGCUUUGGAGGCUGUCCUGGAACUCACUCUGGAGACCAGGCUGGCCUCGAACUCCCAGAGAUCCGCCUGCCUCUACCUCCCGAGUUCUGGAA